UUCCUCUUUAUUCUGUACUUUCAGAAACCAGAAACAUUAUUUGCCAAUAUCAUAACUGGAGCUGGACAUCUUUGGAGCUGAAGAAUGAGGACAGCUUUUGUAUGCUAACGUACACUCCUUAACAGUUGUACUGGAUGAAAACACAGCAAGAAAACGCAUGCCAAUAUUGACUGAACAACAACUGCAUUUCCACCCCCAUCUCUAAGGCAUAGUAUCAUGGCUGGUCACCUGUCAAGUCACAUGUCAGGCAGACUUUGCAAUGCCUCCGUGUGCGACUACCUUGAGAAGCAGUUUGAGGGACUUUGCAGGGAAAAUGUCGUGCAGUGAGGCGUAGGGGAUUGUCUACAGCAGGACGGCCCCCAGUGGAUGGGCGCCGAGGGGUGUGGUGCUCCUCCAGCAGCUCUCUCAUGAGGUUCUCUCUGUAUUUUUGGUGGUCCACCUUCCCUGUGGCCGACAUGGUUGCUGUAUGGACAGUGGAGAGGACAUGGACGUCUCGCUUGUCAUGCCACUUUACUGCC
Long non-coding RNA from Oncorhynchus nerka (sockeye salmon), 518 nucleotides. RefSeq lists it as uncharacterized. The transcript has 4 exons. The record is from RefSeq and is a predicted model, not a curated record. NCBI's taxonomy places the organism in Eukaryota, Metazoa, Chordata, Actinopteri, Salmoniformes, Salmonidae.